CGAAAGACAUUUAAGGGGGGUUUGGGAGUGGGGGUGAGCGAGCUAGGGGAGAAACGAGGUGGGCAGCCGCCGCGGUGGGGGUGGAGGCUAGGCCGCGGCGGUGGGGGUAGAAGAGGGUCUAGGCCGCGGCGGCGCGGGAGAGGAGAGGAGGAAGAGGGUCUAGGCCUCGUCGUCUCCAGCGGCCUCCUCGUCGUCGUCGCUGCAGAGCUCUUACCUACCUUGUCACGUACGAGGUUCGCCGCGGCUCGGUGCACAACGACGGGUGGGAUCGCACUUGCCGUUGCCGUGACGGUCCGUGAACGUACUACUUACCGACCUUCUCAUACUUCGUCCACAAAAGUACUUCGACUUCCUAGAGCCGCUGCCCUGGGCCCUUAACUGUUCCCAAGCCAAGUCGUUUUCCGCCAAACCCCUCGUAGUCCGACUCUUAACCACCUUUCUCUUGGCGCUCUUUCAAAUACUGGCUAUAUUAUAUUCCUGGAGGGUUGCUCGCAGCAGUCGUCGAGAUUGGGUGAGCCGGAUUAUUGCAUGGAAGGACAAAGAAGUGCGUGUUUGACGUUCCGGUCGGUAGUUACUCGUCGUCGUUUAGCACUUGCUUUGAUUCCCAAUACAGUAUACACAUGACCCCACAUCUGGGCGGUAUACACUAGAAAUAGCAGAGAACUAUGACACUAUAACUCUGACCAUUCAUUCCAAGCCAACCACGAAUUAGUGAUAUCCGGCAUCGUACCCAGGAUAGGAUCACAUUACAUGUAUUACAUCAUCUUGACUUGGGUAAUCAACACUCCAAAUACAUCAGAUAAAUUGACCAGUUAACCAGAACAGUUUUGGGUCGGGUAACUAUUAGAACAAUACACUUCGUUUUUCAUGUAGAUAACAGAAUUCGUCUCGGAUCACCACCUUGGACAGGUGGGCCGUCUCGAACUGUACCCAUCCGAUAAACAGGUCGACAUCUAAUGCAUGGACAACUGACUCCACGUACACACGUACACCACUGAAACAGUUAGAGUACUAGUACAUACUUACACCACUAAAAGGCUUAGAAAUCUAAACAGCGAAGUCAACUAUUCCGGGACUUUUGGGUGAACCAUCGACCACACCGUUACGUCGGAUUGUAAAACCCGAUACCCAAAGCUGUCCCUAUUUAACCCCGAUUUGAUUGUUGGACUGAACUAAGCAUCGGAUUGAUCGUACCAUACUUUUACUGAAAGAAAGUUUUUUUAAUACCUCCACAUGUCUUCGUUUAGAGUGUUCCUAAACUAGACUGUCUCUCGACACGACGACAGGUACGAUGGAAAUCAGGAAAUGGUACGAUACAUAGUGUGAUCGUUAACGAGAACCCACUACAAAAAGCCAAAUGUAAUAAAAAUAGGAAGAAAAUUCGCACAAAGUCACUGGAGUCAGGACACCACCAUGGCCUAUAUAUACGAGUUGAAAACUAGUUUGUACGUCUUUAAACUGAAUUCUAAAGUUCGUUUAAACAUUGUCUCAUGUAUCUUUCUACUUUGUACCUCGACAUAGAGUUCCGUACCAUGGGAGAUGGGACAAAUACAUACCUAGUGUCAUCGGUCACAUCCAGCAGAAAAGGUAUAUUCCAGUGCGGGAGUAACAAAAAUCAAAAACAGCGGCUAAAGAUGUGUAUGAAAGAAAUCUACCUAAAGAUGUGUAUGACUACAACUUCUUUGUUGUAAGAAGACAGUGUUAUGUUCAACAAAACCUGUAACUGUACCGAAAGUUCCAAUGUGUAACCAGUAAAUGAAGAGAUUUCUAUGGAAAGAAACUUACUUUUUUCCACAUAGAACAAUAAACUUCGUUGUUAAUAUAGAUAACAGAAAUCGCCUCGAAUCACCUAUUCAAGGAACACCACCUUGGACAUGUGGGCCGCCUCGAACUGCGUCCAUUCGAUAAACAGGUCGACAUCUGCUGCGUGGACGACUGAUACUCCACGUACACACAUACACCACUGACAGUUAGAGUUCUGGUGCAUACUUACGCCACUCAAAGAUUUUGAAUCCUAAACAACUGAGUCAGCUAUUCUAGGACUUUUAAGUGAACCAUCGACCACAUUUUUACGUUGGAUUGUAAAACCCGAUACCCAAAGUUGUCCCUAUUUUAACCCCGAUUAAUUGUUGGAUCUGAACUAAACAUCGUAUUAAUCGUACCAUGCCUUUAUCGAAAGAAAAAUAGAAACAUACCUCCACAUGGCUUCGUUUAUGAUGUUCCUAAACUAGUCUGUUUCUCGACACGGCGUCCGGUACCAUGGAAAUAGUACAACAUAUGUAAUCGGUAACAUCAACCCACUAUAAAAAGACAAAUGUAAUAACAAAUAAGAAGAAGAAAAUUCGCACAAAGCCACUGGAGUCAGGACGUCGCCAUGGACCUAUAUAUACGAGUUGAAAACUAGUUUGUACUUAUUUAAACUGAACCCUGAAGUUCAUCAGACCUUGGCUCCCCCAUGUAAAAUUCUACUUGGUACCUCGACAUAGAGUUUCGUACAAUGGUAGAUAGGACACAUACAUACCUAGUGUCAUCGAUCACAUCCAGUUAAAUCUUCCAGGUCCACAACACUAAACGAUAAAAGUAUACUCUAGUCUGGGAGUAACAAAAGUCAAACACAGCGGCUAAAGAUGUGUACGGCGACAACUUCUUUGUUGUGAAGAAGAGACAGCGUUAUGUUCAACAAGAUUUGUAACUGUAACUGUACUGAAGGUUCCAAUGUGUAAUCGGUAAAUAAAGAGAAUUCUUGUAUAAAAGAAACUUAGUUUUCCCCAUAUGAGGCAC
This 2781-nucleotide ribosomal RNA is filed under the name Triticum aestivum (bread wheat). RNAcentral's name for it is "partial small subunit ribosomal RNA". The record is from RNAcentral. Lineage: Eukaryota; Viridiplantae; Streptophyta; Magnoliopsida; Poales; Poaceae.